This 253-nucleotide ribosomal RNA is filed under the name uncultured bacterium. Its description in RNAcentral is "partial 16S ribosomal RNA". It matches the Rfam family "Bacterial small subunit ribosomal RNA", at positions 524 to 776 of the family's 1533-position model. The record is from RNAcentral.
UACAGAGGGGGCAAGCGUUAUUCGGAAUUAUUGGGCGUAAAGGGCGCGUAGGCGGCUUGGCAAGUGGAUGGUGAAAUCCCUCGGCUUAACCGAGGAACUGCCGUCCAAACUGCUUCGCUUGAGACCGGGAGAGGUGAGUGGAAUUCCCAGUGUAGCGGUGAAAUGCGUAGAUAUUGGGAGGAACACCGGUGGCGAAGGCGGCAUCCUGGACCGGUAUUGACGCUGAGGCGCGAAAGCCAGGGGAGCAAACGGG